CACUAGCGUUGGACUUCUGCACUUCAGGGUGAGGGCUGCAGUGGAGUCUUUUGCAGCAAGGAUUAGCCCAAAUACGUGUGCAGUUUCAUCUUUGGGAUGAUGGAGGUUCAGCUGGUCUUACAAGAAGGUCAACAUGGUUGCUUUGGAGUGGCAAUCUGGAAGGCUCUAGAAGCAGAAGUGGAGCUGACCUGAGAGAGAUCUCAGACAAAGGUCACUGUUUCAGACCAUGUGAAGUUCAACUGCAAAAUCCAUCUGCAAAACCCACAGCAGAAUGCAUUUGUAUUAGUGUAAAGCACGUUUACAUUUAGUAACAUCAUUCAUUAUCUCCUCAAGAGUUCCUGCUAGAAUCCAGACUCUAAACGAAGCCCUCAUCUGGCCCUGUCAUAGGCCAUAAUGCCAUCUUUUAUCACAGUAAUUUUCAAUACAACAUUAUUUUUAAUGCAGGAAUUUGGAAAUUCAUAUUGUGCUUGAAUAACUAUUAAAAGAUAACACCCAGGAAAUGUAAAAGCGAUCAGAGCACUCAGAUGCUGUAGGAUAUGUGUCCCCAUGCAGCUCUCCAAUGGGAAGUGUAUCCUCACUUCCUGGCUUUUGCAGCAAUCAAUAGCCGAGUGGCUGCUUAGCAGGCUGAAGCACUUCUAUUAAGAUAAGCAAAAGGGCAGCAGUGGCAGCUAACCUGCAUGGAAAUGUGCAAGAUGAAAAUUUUGCAUGCUUUCUAGGUGUUUACAGGACCAGUUGUUACCUGAUACACUUCUCAAAUUAAGAAAUGCCUUUCUCAGUUGGAAAUACCUCAGAGAAGGCUGGUAAUAAAUUAACAUUUUAUUCCUAAAGCA
Molecule: long non-coding RNA, 830 nt
Filed under: Chrysolophus pictus (golden pheasant)
Lineage: Eukaryota; Metazoa; Chordata; Aves; Galliformes; Phasianidae
Description: lncRNA (ENSCPIG00010007036.1)
Source: RNAcentral